CGUGGGGAGCAAACAGGAUUAGAUACCCUGGUAGUCCACGCCGUAAACGAUGUCGAUUUGGAGGUUGUGCCCUUGAGGCGUGGCUUCCGGAGCUAACGCGUUAAAUCGACCGCCUGGGGAGCACGGCCGCAAGGUUAAAACUCAAAUGAAUUGACGGGGGCCCGCACAAGCGGUGGAGCAUGUGGUUUAAUUCGAUGCAACGCGAAGAACCUUACCUGGUCUUGACAUCCACAGAACUUUCCAGAGAUGGAUAGGUGCCUUCGGGAACUGUGAGACAGGUGCUGCAUGGCUGUCGUC
RNAcentral lists this ribosomal RNA (297 nucleotides) under Klebsiella pneumoniae. RNAcentral's name for it is "partial 16S ribosomal RNA". It matches the Rfam family "Bacterial small subunit ribosomal RNA", at positions 760 to 1056 of the family's 1533-position model. Lineage: Bacteria; Pseudomonadati; Pseudomonadota; Gammaproteobacteria; Enterobacterales; Enterobacteriaceae. The record is from RNAcentral.